GUCCUAGCCGUAAACGUUGGGUGCUAGGUGUGGGCGGAUAUCGACCCCGUCCGUGCCGAAGCUAACGCAUUAAGCACCCCGCCUGGGGAGUACGGCCGCAAGGCUAAAACUCAAAGGAUUGACGGGGCCCGCACAAGCGGCGGAGCAUGUGGCUUAAUUCGAAGCGACGCGAAGAACCUUACCUGGGCUUGACAUGCGGGGUGAAACCGUAGAAAUACGGCGCUCUUCGGAGCCCGCACAGGUGGUGCAUGGCUGUCGU
Molecule: ribosomal RNA, 259 nt
Filed under: uncultured bacterium
Lineage: Bacteria
Description: partial 16S ribosomal RNA
Rfam family: Bacterial small subunit ribosomal RNA
Source: RNAcentral